GUGUCAGCAGCCGCGGUAAUACGGAGGAUCCAAGCGUUGUCCGGAUUUAUUGGGUUUAAAGGGUGCGUAGGCGGAUCUUUAAGUCAGUGGUGAAAGCCUGCAGCUUAACUGUAGAACAGCCAUUGAAACUGAAGAUCUUGAAUGUGGUUAAAGUAGGCGGAAUGUAUCAUGUAGCGGUGAAAUGCUUAGAUAUGAUACAGAACACCGAUAGCGAAGGCAGCUUGCUGAACCAUUAUUGACGCUGAGGCACGAAAGCGUGGGGAGCGAACAGGAUUAGAUACCCUGGUAGUCC
RNAcentral lists this ribosomal RNA (292 nucleotides) under uncultured bacterium. RNAcentral's name for it is "partial 16S ribosomal RNA". It matches the Rfam family "Bacterial small subunit ribosomal RNA", at positions 505 to 796 of the family's 1533-position model. The record is from RNAcentral.